RNAcentral lists this ribosomal RNA (768 nucleotides) under Triticum aestivum (bread wheat). RNAcentral describes it as "partial small subunit ribosomal RNA". The record is from RNAcentral. Lineage: Eukaryota; Viridiplantae; Streptophyta; Magnoliopsida; Poales; Poaceae.
AUGGCAACUCAGAGCGCCUGUCCGCUGUGUGGAUGCCAAGAUUGGUGGAGACAUGCCCUCUUGUCAUGCACUAUGUCGAGGUGUAUUUGGGCUUUGACGGAUGAAACUCUUGUGACAAAGAUGACGGAAAACGUGGAGCUAAGUGCCAAAAACUGGCUGUUUGAACUUCAUGAGGCACUAGACCAUGCGAGUUUCAUGAGAAUGGUCGUCACACUGUGGGCUGUGUGGUAUGCAAGGCGCAAGCCAAGAGUGCAGGUACUUGCUGUACCAGGGCAGCAACGCCGAUGGAUCCCACCUCCAGCUGGUUUUAAUAAGAUCAAUGUGGAUGGUGCACUAGCAAGGAAUAUAUGAGUGCGAGUGGCGGCUGCAGUCUGUCGAGAUUCAAAUGGAAAUUUUCUUGGCUCGUCAGCAGUUGUCUUUCGAGGAAUCAGAGACCCUAUGAUUCUGGAGACAUACGCUUGUCGGGAGGCUCUAUCUUUGGCGGAGGAUCUGUACGAGCAGAAUAUCAUGGUAGCCUCAGAUUGUCAAGGUGUGGUGCAAGAUAUCAACGAAGGGACGGGAGGUCCCAAUGCGGCUAUUAUACAUGAAAUAAUAGACCGCAAAGCUAGUUUCUCUUCUUGCUCGUUUGUUUUUGAGCGAAGGAACUUUAACUUCGAGGCUCAUAAUCUCGCUAAAUUCGCGUGUAAUUUAGAUAUAGGUAGGCCUAUUUGGUUCGGCACUCCUCAUGACCCAAACCGUGUACCUAUGAACAUUGUUUUGAAUCAAUAA